ACAAGCGGUGGAGUAUGUGGUUUAAUUCGAUGCAACGCGAAGAACCUUACCUGGUCUUGACAUCCCGGAGACCCUUAGAAAACUAGGGGUGCUUCCAUCUGGAAGAAUCUGGAGACAGGUGCUGCAUGGCUGUCGUCAGCUCGUGUCGUGAGAUGUUGGGUUAAGUCCCGCAACGAGCGCAACCCUUGCCUUUAGUUGCCAGCAGUUCGGCUGGGCACUCUAAAGGGACUGCCGGUGUUAAACCGGAGGAAGUGGGGAUGACGUCAAGUCCUCAUGGCCUUUAUGACCAGGGCUACACACGUACUACAAUGGCCGAUACAAAGGGCAGCGACACUGCGAGGUGAAGCCAAUCCCGUAAAAUCGGUCUCAGUCCGGAUUGGAGUCUGCAACUCGACUCCAUGAAGUUGGAAUCGCUAGUAAUCGUGGAUCAGCAUGCCACGGUGAAUACGUUCCCGGGCCUU
RNAcentral lists this ribosomal RNA (461 nucleotides) under uncultured Desulfobulbus sp. RNAcentral describes it as "bacterial SSU rRNA". It matches the Rfam family "Bacterial small subunit ribosomal RNA", at positions 925 to 1382 of the family's 1533-position model. Lineage: Bacteria; Pseudomonadati; Thermodesulfobacteriota; Desulfobulbia; Desulfobulbales; Desulfobulbaceae. The record is from RNAcentral.